Cyprinus carpio (common carp) is the source of this 885-nucleotide long non-coding RNA. RefSeq lists it as uncharacterized. The record is from RefSeq and is a predicted model, not a curated record. Lineage: Eukaryota; Metazoa; Chordata; Actinopteri; Cypriniformes; Cyprinidae. The transcript is spliced from 6 exons.
GAAGAUGCGUCUAAGAAAGAAGCUCUUUUUUUCCCACUAUGGGUUCCAGGACACUAUAUGCUAUGUGAAACUUGCACAGAAUCUUGUCCCUGGAAAAUGGUCAGAAAAAACUGGAAGUGAUUUAAAGGGAGUUCCUGUGCAAGAUUAUGGGAAUGACUGCGGUAUCUUCAUGAUCAUGGCGAGUUAACAAUUGUAGCUUAAACAAAUUACAAGAUUAAAUUGACAAAAUUAUGUACAAAAAAAGUUAUAAAAGUACACAUUCAUUUUAACACAAUUUUAUGCUCUUCACCUAUACUGCAUGACAAAAAUUUUAUUGAAAAUAUUUAUUUUAUAUGCAGUACAUCUGGUAUAUGGCAAUGGAGGCUUAUUUUGAUUUCACUGUGAAGGACAUGCCAGAUCUUAGAAGGUGGUGGUGUAUAGUUCUGAUGGAGAACUUUCAUCUAGAAGAUCACGGGAAAAGAUUUGCACAUUGAACUGAAGACGGGAGACAAACUCUUAAUGGAACUUUUACACCUGUCUUCCGCAUACCAAAGAAAAGAAAAUGUCCAGACCCCACAAAGGAUGGCAAGCCAACCAAGAGAAUCCAGACCUAAAAACAUUAUGAAAUGGGCACAACACAGAAAUGGGUACAUCCAUUGUAUGUACAGAUAAAUGAAUAGUUCCCCAAAAUGUGUGUAUGAACUUUGCUAAACGUGUGUGUGUGCGAUUUAUAUUAAAAAAGAGCUUUAUUUCAGUCUGUUCUAAUUCAAAAUUGGAUCACUUCAGAAAACAUUUGUUAACCUGCAUGUCUGUGUGUAUUACAAGUAAACUUUGAACACUGUCAUCCUAUGAUCAAUUAAACCUGCCAUUUUAACGAUUGAAAUAUUUUGAAUAACACAGAGCCUU